Molecule: ribosomal RNA, 541 nt
Filed under: uncultured eukaryote
Lineage: Eukaryota
Description: SSU rRNA
Rfam family: Eukaryotic small subunit ribosomal RNA
Source: RNAcentral
AGUAGUCAUAUGCUUGUCUCAAAGAUUAAGCCAUGCAUGUCUAAGUAUAAAUGGAUUAUACAGUGAAACUGCGAAUGGCUCAUUAAAUCAGUUAUAGUUUAUUUGAUAAUAUCUCUUACUUGGAUAACCGUAAUAAUUUUAGAGCUAAUACAUGCGUAAAAGUGCGACUUUACGGAAGCACUGUAUUUAUUAGAUACAAAACCAUCCAGCUUCGGCUGUUACCUUGGUGAUUCAUAAUAACUUAACGAAUCGUAUGACUUUAUGUCGACGAUGAUUCAUUCAAAUUUCUGCCCUAUCAACUUUCGAUGGUAAGGUAUUGGCUUACCAUGGUUACAACGGGUGACGGAGAAUUAGGGUUCGAUUCCGGAGAGGGAGCCUGAGAAACGGCUACCACUUCUACGGAGGGCAGCAGGCGCGCAAAUUACCCAAUCCUGACUCAGGGAGGUAGUGACGAAUAAUAACGAUACGUGACUUCGGUCUAGUAAUUGGAAUGAGUACAAUUUAAACCCCUUAAUGAAAGCCAUUGGAGGGCAAGUCUGGU